GACGAACGCUGGCGGCGUGCUUAACACAUGCAAGUCGAACGGUGAAGCCUUCGGGUGGAUCAGUGGCGAACGGGUGAGUAACACGUGAGCAAUCUGCCCUUGACUCUGGGAUAACUUCGGGAAACCGGAGCUAAUACCGGAUAUGACAUCUGGCCGCAUGGUCUGGGUGUGGAAAGAUUUAUCGGUCAAGGAUGAGCUCGCGGCCUAUCAGCUUGUUGGUGGGGAAUGGCCCACCAAGGCGACGACGGGUAGCCGGCCUGAGAGGGCGACCGGCCACACUGGGACUGAGACACGGGCCCAGACUCCUACGGGAGGCAGCAGUGGGGAAUAUUGCGCAAU
RNAcentral lists this ribosomal RNA (339 nucleotides) under uncultured bacterium. RNAcentral describes it as "bacterial SSU rRNA". It matches the Rfam family "Bacterial small subunit ribosomal RNA", at positions 28 to 372 of the family's 1533-position model. The record is from RNAcentral.